Molecule: unclassified non-coding RNA, 253 nt
Filed under: uncultured Halomonadaceae bacterium
Lineage: Bacteria; Pseudomonadati; Pseudomonadota; Gammaproteobacteria; Oceanospirillales; Halomonadaceae
Description: contains 16S-23S intergenic spacer region
Rfam family: Bacterial small subunit ribosomal RNA
Source: RNAcentral
UACGGAGGGUGCGAGCGUUAAUCGGAAUUACUGGGCGUAAAGCGCGCGUAGGCGGCUAUGUACGCCGGUUGUGAAAGCCCCGGGCUCAACCUGGGAAUAGCAUUCGGAACUGUUUAGCUAGAGUGCAGAAGAGGAAGGUAGAAUUCCCGGUGUAGAGGUGAAAUGCGUAGAGAUUGGGAGGAAUACCAGUGGCGAAGGCGGCCUUCUGGUCUGGCACUGACGCUGAGGUGCGAAAGCGUGGGUAGCAAACAGG